RNAcentral lists this long non-coding RNA (4386 nucleotides) under Lactuca sativa (garden lettuce). RNAcentral describes it as "long non-coding RNA (LSAT_LNC000603)". The record is from RNAcentral. Lineage: Eukaryota; Viridiplantae; Streptophyta; Magnoliopsida; Asterales; Asteraceae.
UAGGUUUUGUUUUUACCUACACGUGGAUAUAAAGAACGUCGAAAACGGAGUUUGUAUGCGAAAGUUAUGAAUUUCUGAAGUUUGGGGCGCGAAACCCCAAAACUGUCAGAACUCACGAGGUGAAUAUUAGAAAUUCACGAGGUGAACAGACGAUGGACGUCUUCCAGGGCAAGUGGCCAUGACAAACGCAAUGACGUAUCGAGCUCACGAGGUGAGUAUUAGAAACUCACGAGGUGAGCAAGUUCACGAGGAAUAUUAGAAACUCACGAGGUGAACUCAGAAAAUUCACCCUAUAAAUAGAAAUCAAGGGUCAGCCGAUUUUGGUUGCUCCUUCUCAUCAAACUCACUCCCGAUACUCUCUCUAAGCCCUAUUUUAACCCCCCGAAGCCCCGGUAUCAUUCCCAAGCCCCAAAGCAAGUCCCGAAGCCCGAAGAUCCCGAGAAGUGAAAUUCCCGAGCCGAAGCUCUGCCUGCGAGAAGCCGAUUUUUGUGAAGAUCUUCCAGAUCUACCGAAGAAUACUACUUUUACAAGUCGUAGUGCUGUCCGGGCAUCGUCUAAUCAUGUGAGUGUAUAGUCAAUUUCAUCUUGCACAUAGAUAUGAAAUAUUUUAUAAAGUACGUGCUAUGUGUAUAUAUAUUGUUGUUUAUAUGUGUGAGUGUAUAGUCCCUUUCAUAAACAUGAUUUUAAUACAAGUAUUGUUUGAAUGUAUUAAGUAUAUGUUUGGUGUGAGUGUAUAUUUACUUUCUUCUAACACAUAAAUAUAAAUUAUUAGCUAUGAAAUACAUGCUAUGUGUUAUAUAUUAUUUGUCUAUUUGAGAUGGGCUUGGAAUUUAUGUUUUUAUACGGGUGUUAAAUGAUUUAAACUGUGUUUGUAUCUAUAUCUACAAAAUUGUUGGGUAGAACAUGGGUAGAUAGAAUAAUUGGUGACAAUGCGACUUCGUGCCUAUUGAGUAAAACCUUGGUGAUAAUGCGACUUCGUGCCUAUUGAGUAAAACCUUGGUGACGAUGCGACUUCGUGCCUAUUGAGUAAAACCUUGGUGACGACGCGACUUCGUGCCUAUUGAGUAAAACCUUGGUGACGAUGCGACUUCGUGCCUAUUGAGUAAAACCUUGAUGACGAUGCGACUUCGUGCCUAUUUGAUAAACCUUGGUGACGAUGUGACUUCGUGCCUGUUGUGUAAACCCUGGUGACUAUGAGACGUAGUGCCUAUCGUAUGAACCCUGGUGACUAUGUGACGUAGUGCCUGUUGUAUAAACCGUGGUUGAAAAUGGAUUUUGUGCCAGUUCGUUAGGUAAAUCCUUAGGGAUGAAUGAAUGAAGGAUAGUUGGUUAUUAGGGUAAACCUUGAGAAAAUAAAGGAGAUAUGGGAUGGGUAUUUGGGUUGAUUGUUUGAUAAUUGAAUAUAAUAAAUUUAUUAUUGUGAGUUGAAAACCCUAUAUGCUCACCAGGCUCCCAAGCCUGACCCUCUCAGUUUUCUUUGCAUUACAGGUAAUGGCACAAGGGUAUAAGUUGAUGGACUUGACGAGAGAUUUUGGAUUAUAGAUCAGUAGUUAUAAAUAACUGUUGUAAGGUGUAUUUUAUAUUGUUUAUGCUUUUGGUUUGUAUCGGAACAUGACAUCCCGAGGUUUUAUUAUUAAAUAAAAAAAAUACAUUCUCUUUGAGAAAUGUUUUGAUAAGUUAUUAUCAUAUCUUGUUUUGGGAACAAAUUCCGCAACCGUUUUCUUUAAACGAUUACUAUGAUUUAUAAAACAAAGCAUAAACAAAUCAGUAUUUUCUGGCCGUGAAAUUGGGGAUGUCACAGUUGGUAUCAGAGCAUUACUUUAAGCGAACUAGGAAUUUGUAGGAUUUAUAGACUUAAACUUAGAAUGCUAAGUAAUGAUCGUGAGGAGUGUGUCUAAAAUAUGUUAGGUAGUACACCUAAAUUGACACAAGCACUAGUUUAUUUUAGGAAUGAUGCCUAAAUUGCUUUUAUGUGCUAAAUGUGAUACGUUGCCAUAUAUGAUAUUAUUUGUUCGGAUCUAUGGUUUGUUGCCGACCGGAUCAGGAAACCUUAUGUGUUUAGGAUUCUAAGUGUAUGCUUACGAUAUUAGAACUAGCAUGUAAACGUUUCGAGGUGAUAAGGAGAUUUAUACAUCGAUCGUAAUUAAAGCUUUCUUAUCUUAAAUUCUCGCCCGAUACACCGAACGUCUGCUUAGGUGUACCAAACUUUGUGGUGAAGACUCAUAUAGAUUUGAGUAAAUGGAGGAAAUGAAAGGCUUAUGAUAGUGAAUGACGCCUAUCGGAAGAUAUCGUAAGAGUGGUAUCUUGCCUUUAGUUUAUGUCUGAUAAAAUAACGGAACGUUUAGAGGAGUACGGUACGUCUAAAGUACACCUUCGAUUGGCAGGAUGAUGGAACGAUUGGUGUAAUUCUUGAAGUUGUCCCAUAAUCUGGAAUUUCCAUCACCAACCGAGUUGAAGUAGAAUUGAUGAGUGAAGAUGCGCAUGGAAGAAGCCCUAGUAGAGUCUAGGAAAAUUUUGUAUGAUUAAUUGGACACAUUAGUAUGUGUUAAAUUGUUUGGUGAUUUUAGGACUUGGGGACUGCAAGACAAUACUUGGGACGAGUAUGAGUAGGUGUGAAUAGUAGUAGAGAUCUAUACUACUGGAAGCACAGGACUCACACUUGGAUCAGGGAAAGUCACAAGGUUACCAAGAAGCUUGUAAUUGAGUUCGUUUUUAUUCAAGUAUGUUGUUACCAUUGUUUCAGUAAUGACUAAAAAGAUGAUUGAUAUUCUGACCCUAGCGGUCAUUUCAAACUAAGUCCGACUACGAUGAGUUUGUUACGUGGUUCAUAGAACCAAGUUCGAGGUAGCAUCUGACUUAAGUCAGAAGAUUGAAAUCAAUGCGAUCGAUAGCAUCACGCUCGUUGUUAAGGAAGCUUGUAUCUAGAAAUGCUACAUGUAAAAAUGUGAUUAAAUCACAUUAGAGUAUGAAGGAAGGUAUAUUCCAUUCUGGAAUUUGACUCUAAGAGACUUGAGUCUAAGCGUUGCAUCAUACGAUGAGAGGUCAUUAGAACACGACCCAUCGAUUUGUUACACUAGAUAAAGGAAAGUACUUAUUCUAAGAAGAAGAAGGAGUCCUCAGUAAGGAUUUAUUUUGUAACUCGAAGGUUACGACUGAAAGUCCAACAUAGUACAAAGAGCAGAUGCAGGAUUGAGCACUACCUGCUAUCGAGAAGUCCAAGAGUUAGAUACUCUUUUGAGGAAACAUAGAACUUACAAUUAUUACCUAGGAUGAAGAGAUAACGUAGGGAAUCAUUAUAUAAUUCCUAUUUCGUUGAUGAUUUCGGGACGUAAUCAUCCUAAGGGGGAGAUAAUUGUAACGCCCGCAGAUCCGGGCUAGUCAAUUUAGAGACGAUAAGCAUCAAAAAUGACUUUUUUUAUGGAAGAUUAUUUAGAAGGAUUGAUCUUAACUAAGUUGUAGUAUAUUUCACAAGGUUUCUGUGCAUCUAAAGAACGUCGUAAUCCGAGUUAUAACGAAGAAGUUAUGACCUGUCGAAGUUUUGCGACAAAACCGGCACGACACAACGCGACGUAAAUAGUGAAUUUACGUUAGAGCGAUAUUUGGCCUUAGCGAUCUAAAUGAAACUCGUAGAAUACGUUAAACCGAGAGCGUGCAUAAAAAGAACGUCUAAAUCUGACUUCGUAUGAGGAAGUUAUGAUUUUUCGAAGUUUCAGCAUUAGCAGUAUGCAGCCCGAAACUCGAGAUUGAGGUCGAGUGAUAUUUAGCCAAAACUUUCUAAAUGAGAAUUGAAGAUCUCAUCAAUAGUAAUCCAACGAUAAAAAGACAGGCGAAAACGGAGUUCAGAUGAAGGAGUUAUGAAUUUCGAACGGAGUUUUCCUGUCCUAGCCUACUAAAAAUAAUAUAUUAAUAAUAUACUAAAAUUAAAGUCAAAAUUAGCCGACAAAGUCUAAAUGAAAGUUUUAGGUUUUGUUUUUACCUACACGUGGAUAUAAAGAACGUCGAAAACGGAGUUCGUAUGCGAAAGUUAUGAAUUUCUGAAGUUUGGGGCGCGAAACCCCAAAACUGUCAGAACUCACGAGGUGAAUAUUAGAAAUUCACGAGGUGAACAGACGAUGGACAUCUUCCAGGGCAAGUGGCCAUGAUGAACGCAAUGACGUAUCGAGCUCAUGAGGUGAGUAUUAGAAACUCACGAGGUGAGCAAGUUCACGAGGAAUAUUAGAAACUCACGAGGUGAACUCAGAAAAUUCACCCUAUAAAUAGAAAUCAAGGGUCAGCCGAUUUUGGUUGCUCCUUCUCAUCUCUCUCACUCCCGAUACUCUCUCUAAGCCCUAUUUUAACCCCCCGAAGCCCCGGUAUCAUUCCCGAGCCCUAAAGCAAGUCCCGAAG